UUGGAGGGCAGUCUGGUGCCAGCAGCCGCGGUAAUUCCAGCCCCAAUAGCGUAUAUUAAAGUUGUUGCAGUUAAAAAGCUCGUAGUUGAAUUUCGGGGUUAGUAGGUUGGUCAUGCCACUGGUAUGUACUGGUCUCACUGAUUCCUCCUUCCUGAUGAGCCGUAAUGCCAUUAAUUUGGUGUUGCGAGGAAUCUGGACUGUUACUUUGAAAAAAUUAGAGUGUUUAAAGCAAGCUAACGCUUGAAUACAUUAGCAUGGAGUAAUGAAAUAGGACGUUCGAUCCUAUUUUGUUGGUUUCUAGGAUUGACGUAAUGAUUAAUAGGGAUAGUUGGGGGCAUUAGUAUUCAAUUGUCAGAGGUGAAAUUCUUGGAUUUAUUGAAGACUAACUACUGCGAAAGCAUUUGCCAAGGAUGUUUUCAUUAAUCAAGAACGAAAGUUAGGGGAUCGAAGACGAUCAGAUACCGUCGUAGUCUUAACCAUAAACUAUGCCGACUAGGGAUCGGAUGAUGUUAAUUUUUUAAUGACUCAUUCGGCGCCUUACGGGAAAC
RNAcentral lists this ribosomal RNA (548 nucleotides) under uncultured Glomeromycotina. RNAcentral describes it as "SSU rRNA". It matches the Rfam family "Eukaryotic small subunit ribosomal RNA", at positions 548 to 1098 of the family's 1831-position model. Lineage: Eukaryota; Fungi; Glomeromycota. The record is from RNAcentral.